This 440-nucleotide ribosomal RNA is filed under the name uncultured bacterium. RNAcentral describes it as "partial 16S ribosomal RNA". It matches the Rfam family "Bacterial small subunit ribosomal RNA", at positions 338 to 795 of the family's 1533-position model. The record is from RNAcentral.
CCUACGGGAGGCAGCAGUAGGGAAUAUUGCUCAAUGGGGGAAACCCUGAAGCAGCAACGCCGCGUGGAGGAUGAAGGUUUUCGGAUUGUAAACUCCUUUUGUUAGAGAAGAUAAUGACGGUAUCUAGCGAAUUAACACCGGCUAACUUCGUUCCAGCAGCCGCGGUAAUACGGAGGGUGCAAGCGUUACUCGGAAUUACUGGGCGUAAAGGGCGCGUAGGCGGGAUAGCAAGUCAGAUGUGAAAUCCUAUGGCUUAACCAUAGAACUGCAUUUGAAACUGUGAUUCUAGAGUAUGGGAGAGGCAGGUGGAAUUCUUGGUGUAGGGGUAAAAUCCGUAGAGAUUGAGAGGAAUACUAAUUGCGAAGGCGACCUGCUAGACCAUAACUGACGCUGAUGCGCGAAAGCGUGGGGAGCAAACAGGAUCAGAUACCCCUGUAGUC